This 71-nucleotide transfer RNA is filed under the name Elusimicrobiota bacterium. RNAcentral's name for it is "Elusimicrobia bacterium tRNA-Gly". It matches the Rfam family "tRNA". From Rfam's summary of the family: Transfer RNA (tRNA) molecules are approximately 80 nucleotides in length. Their secondary structure includes four short double-helical elements and three loops (D, anti-codon, and T loops). The record is from RNAcentral. Lineage: Bacteria; Pseudomonadati; Elusimicrobiota.
GAGGGCGUGGUGCAGCGGCAGCACGGGCGCUCGCCAGGCGCCGGACGCGGGUUCGACUCCCGCCGCCAUCU